Molecule: ribosomal RNA, 1552 nt
Filed under: Salmonella enterica subsp. enterica serovar Bareilly
Lineage: Bacteria; Pseudomonadati; Pseudomonadota; Gammaproteobacteria; Enterobacterales; Enterobacteriaceae
Description: bacterial SSU rRNA
Rfam family: Bacterial small subunit ribosomal RNA
Source: RNAcentral
UUAAAUUGAAGAGUUUGAUCAUGGCUCAGAUUGAACGCUGGCGGCAGGCCUAACACAUGCAAGUCGAACGGUAGCACAGAGAGCUUGCUCUCGGGUGACGAGUGGCGGACGGGUGAGUAAUGUCUGGGAAACUGCCUGAUGGAGGGGGAUAACUACUGGAAACGGUGGCUAAUACCGCAUAACGUCGCAAGACCAAAGAGGGGGACCUUCGGGCCUCUUGCCAUCAGAUGUGCCCAGAUGGGAUUAGCUAGUUGGUGAGGUAACGGCUCACCAAGGCGACGAUCCCUAGCUGGUCUGAGAGGAUGACCAGCCACACUGGAACUGAGACACGGUCCAGACUCCUACGGGAGGCAGCAGUGGGGAAUAUUGCACAAUGGGCGCAAGCCUGAUGCAGCCAUGCCGCGUGUAUGAAGAAGGCCUUCGGGUUGUAAAGUACUUUCAGCGGGGAGGAAGGUGUUGUGGUUAAUAACCACAGCAAUUGACGUUACCCGCAGAAGAAGCACCGGCUAACUCCGUGCCAGCAGCCGCGGUAAUACGGAGGGUGCAAGCGUUAAUCGGAAUUACUGGGCGUAAAGCGCACGCAGGCGGUCUGUCAAGUCGGAUGUGAAAUCCCCGGGCUCAACCUGGGAACUGCAUUCGAAACUGGCAGGCUUGAGUCUUGUAGAGGGGGGUAGAAUUCCAGGUGUAGCGGUGAAAUGCGUAGAGAUCUGGAGGAAUACCGGUGGCGAAGGCGGCCCCCUGGACAAAGACUGACGCUCAGGUGCGAAAGCGUGGGGAGCAAACAGGAUUAGAUACCCUGGUAGUCCACGCCGUAAACGAUGUCUACUUGGAGGUUGUGCCCUUGAGGCGUGGCUUCCGGAGCUAACGCGUUAAGUAGACCGCCUGGGGAGUACGGCCGCAAGGUUAAAACUCAAAUGAAUUGACGGGGGCCCGCACAAGCGGUGGAGCAUGUGGUUUAAUUCGAUGCAACGCGAAGAACCUUACCUGGUCUUGACAUCCACAGAAGAAUCCAGAGAUGGAUUUGUGCCUUCGGGAACUGUGAGACAGGUGCUGCAUGGCUGUCGUCAGCUCGUGUUGUGAAAUGUUGGGUUAAGUCCCGCAACGAGCGCAACCCUUAUCCUUUGUUGCCAGCGGUCCGGCCGGGAACUCAAAGGAGACUGCCAGUGAUAAACUGGAGGAAGGUGGGGAUGACGUCAAGUCAUCAUGGCCCUUACGACCAGGGCUACACACGUGCUACAAUGGCGCAUACAAAGAGAAGCGACCUCGCGAGAGCAAGCGGACCUCAUAAAGUGCGUCGUAGUCCGGAUUGGAGUCUGCAACUCGACUCCAUGAAGUCGGAAUCGCUAGUAAUCGUGGAUCAGAAUGCCACGGUGAAUACGUUCCCGGGCCUUGUACACACCGCCCGUCACACCAUGGGAGUGGGUUGCAAAAGAAGUAGGUAGCUUAACCUUCGGGAGGGCGCUUACCACUUUGUGAUUCAUGACUGGGGUGAAGUCGUAACAAGGUAACCGUAGGGGAACCUGCGGUUGGAUCACCUCCUUACCUGAAAGAA